Molecule: long non-coding RNA, 620 nt
Organism: Pantherophis guttatus
Lineage: Eukaryota; Metazoa; Chordata; Lepidosauria; Squamata; Colubridae
Source: RefSeq, a predicted model, not a curated record
UAGAACCCACUCCUGGAACACACCAAUGUAUCUUUGAGUAAUCCAGGCUCCAACGGCUGAAUGACAGGAUGAUGAUGUCUGAUGGGGACCAAGCUUGGAUGCCUUAUGAAAAGCAGACUUUUACUUCUUGCUGGAUAUAAUCAAAUGGAAGUAUGGCUUGUUUGCUUCUCAUUUACGUCUGAAAAGCUGUACCCUUCAGGAAAUUUAUUACCACUGUUCCUCAUUUCUUAGACAUAUAGUAAGAAUUUACCAGCGAUGUUGUUAUUUUAGUGUACAACUCUUGCAAAGUUUUAUUCAAGUGGCUUUACUGGACUUGAUUUUCAGGCCUAAAAUACAUUCUGUAUGGUUGUAAUGUUCUCUUGAAACAUAAAACAGUAACUAUAUUAUUUCCUUAAGUAGAAGAAUUCAGGACUUCAAACAACUUUGCCAAAACAUGUAGUUAACUUUAAAAAAGAAGAAGAAGAUAACGCAACAAACAUUAAGAGAUGAUAAGGAGGAAAAAUGCUUGGGUUAAUUAAAACUUCCCAAAUGAAGAAAGUAGAUAAGAACAUCUCAUGUAAGAGGAAAAUCCAGCCAACCCAAUUAUGUCAGAAAUAAAAAACUCUGCUUUAGCUACACAA